This 495-nucleotide ribosomal RNA is filed under the name Saccharomyces cf. cerevisiae/paradoxus. RNAcentral's name for it is "partial large subunit ribosomal RNA". It matches the Rfam family "Eukaryotic large subunit ribosomal RNA", at positions 68 to 564 of the family's 3401-position model. The record is from RNAcentral. Lineage: Eukaryota; Fungi; Ascomycota; Saccharomycetes; Saccharomycetales; Saccharomycetaceae.
GGCGGGAUUGCCUUAGUAACGGCGAAGUGAAGCGGCAAAAGCUCAAAUUUGAAAUCUGGUACCUUCGGUGCCCGAGUUGUAAUUUGGAGAGGGCAACUUUGGGGCCGUUCCUUGUCUAUGUUCCUUGGAACAGGACGUCAUAGAGGGUGAGAAUCCCGUGUGGCGAGGAGUGCGGUUCUUUGUAAAGUGCCUUCGAAGAGUCGAGUUGUUUGGGAAUGCAGCUCUAAGUGGGUGGUAAAUUCCAUCUAAAGCUAAAUAUUGGCGAGAGACCGAUAGCGAACAAGUACAGUGAUGGAAAGAUGAAAAGAACUUUGAAAAGAGAGUGAAAAAGUACGUGAAAUUGUUGAAAGGGAAGGGCAUUUGAUCAGACAUGGUGUUUUGUGCCCUCUGCUCCUUGUGGGUAGGGGAAUCUCGCAUUUCACUGGGCCAGCAUCAGUUUUGGUGGCAGGAUAAAUCCAUAGGAAUGUAGCUUGCCUCGGUAAGUAUUAUAGCCUG